RNAcentral lists this ribosomal RNA (279 nucleotides) under uncultured bacterium. RNAcentral's name for it is "partial 16S ribosomal RNA". It matches the Rfam family "Bacterial small subunit ribosomal RNA", at positions 506 to 784 of the family's 1533-position model. The record is from RNAcentral.
UGCCAGCCGCCGCGGUAAUACGGAGGGUGCAAGCGUUAUCCGGAUUUAUUGGGUUUAAAGGGUGCGCAGGUGGAAAGAUAAGUCAGUGGUGAAAGGCUGCCGCUUAACGGUAGGACUGCCAUUGAUACUGUUUUUCUUGAGUAUGGUUGAGGUAGGCGGAGUGUGUUGUGUAGCGGUGAAAUGCAUAGAUAUGACACAGAACACCGAUUGCGAAGGCAGCUUACUAAGCCAUUACUGACGCUGAGGCACGAAAGCGUGGGGAGCGAACAGGAUUAGAUA